UAACACAUGCAAGUCAACUUGACUGAAGGAGCAAUCUGACAGUAGAGUGGCGCAAGGGUGCGUAACGCGUAAGUAACUUGCCCCAAGGUAAGGAAUAACGUCGAGAAAUCGGCGCUAAUACCUCAUAAUGCAGCGGAUCCGCAUGGAUAUGUUGUUAAAGGUUUACCGCCUUGGGAUAGGCUUGCGUCUGAUUAGUUAGUUGGUGUGGUAACGGCACACCAAGGCUACGAUCAGUAACUGGUCUGAGAGGAUGAUCAGUCACACUGGAACUGAGACACGGUCCAGACUCCUACGGGAGGCAGCAGUGAGGAAUAUUGGGCAAUGCUCGAAAGAGUGACCCAGCAACGCCGCGUGGAGGAUGAAGGUAUUCUAUAUCGUAAACUCCUGUGAGAGCAGACGAAAGACAGAUUAUUAAUCUGGAUGACUGUAUGCUCAGAGGAAGCCCCGGCUAACUACGUG
This 459-nucleotide ribosomal RNA is filed under the name uncultured bacterium. RNAcentral describes it as "bacterial SSU rRNA". It matches the Rfam family "Bacterial small subunit ribosomal RNA", at positions 49 to 507 of the family's 1533-position model. The record is from RNAcentral.